GACUACUUGAGCACACUUGCUCAACUCAGGGUCCAGCGCGUUGCGCCAAGCGCCGUGGUGGACACUUUUGACAAAGUUUACGCUGCAGCUAUGGACAGCAUCAUGAGGAUCCUGGAUGACUGACCAGCGAUGUGCAAGAAGCCCUUGCAUACCAUCCUCCGAGGAAGCAGUAAUGUGCAGCACCAUUACUGCUUCUAUUACUGCAUGUCGAAGCAACGAGGUGCCACGUUUUCAUUAUCUGGCAUAGUACACUGAAG
This 257-nucleotide long non-coding RNA is filed under the name Dermacentor andersoni. RNAcentral describes it as "uncharacterized LOC126522527". Lineage: Eukaryota; Metazoa; Arthropoda; Arachnida; Ixodida; Ixodidae. The record is from RNAcentral.